AUACGUAGGUGGCGAGCGUUAUCCGGAAUUACUGGGUGUAAAGGGUGUGUAGGCGGGAAGGCAAGUCGGAUGUGAAAAUUAUGGGCUCAACCCAUAAAGUGCGACCGAAACUGUUUUUCUUGAGGAUCGGAGAGGUAAUGAGAAUUCCCGGUGUAGCGGUGAAAUGCGCAGAGAUCGGGAGGAAUACCGGUGGCGAAGGCGAAUUACUGGACGAUAACUGACGCUGAGACACGAAAGCGUGGGGAGCAACCAGGAUUAGAUACCCUGGUAGUCCACGCCCUAAACGAUGAAUGCUAGGUGUAGGGGAGUCAUCUUCUGUGCCGCAGCUAACGCAUUAAGUAUUCCACCUGGGGAGUACGCCGGCAACGGUGAAACUUAAAGGAAUGGACGGGG
Molecule: ribosomal RNA, 393 nt
Filed under: uncultured bacterium
Lineage: Bacteria
Description: partial 16S ribosomal RNA
Rfam family: Bacterial small subunit ribosomal RNA
Source: RNAcentral